UCCCGCAUAGUUCAGUCAGUAAAGAAUCUGCCUGUAAUGCAGGAGACCCGGGUUCGAUUCCUGGGUCAGGAA
Ovis aries (sheep) is the source of this 72-nucleotide transfer RNA. It matches the Rfam family "tRNA". Rfam says of the family: Transfer RNA (tRNA) molecules are approximately 80 nucleotides in length. Their secondary structure includes four short double-helical elements and three loops (D, anti-codon, and T loops). The record is from Rfam. NCBI's taxonomy places the organism in Eukaryota, Metazoa, Chordata, Mammalia, Artiodactyla, Bovidae.